CUGAGACCACCACCAUUCUGGGGGCAAGCGUGUUCAUGCAGGUUCUGUUGUCGGUUUUGGGGAGGCGGUGUGCUUUGGCAGCUGGGCGCCCCUGCAGUUGCUGCUGGGUCACUGUUGGGGCUGCUGCUUUGCUGCUGCUGCUGCCGUGGAGCAUUGAUGUUGCUGCUCCUCCUUGCAGCAUCAGUGCGAGGCGUUGGUGUGAGGGUUAGAACUUUGUUCGACCCUGCUUGUGGGCCGGUGGUCGGCAGGGGAAGUGCGGGGCGUGGCUGUUGUGUCGGCUGCCUAUCGCUGCCUCCUGCGCCUGGCCUUGCCUUCUCCUUGCUGCCCUGGAGUGGCCAAACUGGACGGACUGGAGUGGCAGCCGGCUGGUGGAGGUGUUGCCCAGCUGCUACUAGUGCCCAGCUGGACAGGCCGCCCUCGCUGAGGAUCUGGGCUUGCUGCUGUUACCAUCGUUGCAACAGAGGGAAGGAAAGGGAAGGGUGCAUGUGCCACCUUUGGCGUUUAGCCUCCAACAACAUUCUGGUGAUGAGGUGGAGGAGCAGCUAACAAGAAUAGCUGUUUGAGCAUUGGACUACUUUGGACAAGGGUUCAAUUCUCCAUUCAGCUGCGAAAAUCAGUGGGUGACCUUGACAAGUCACACACACUCAGUUCCAGAAGACUCUGCAAUAGGUUCACCUUGGAGUCACCAUACAUUGGAAAUGAUAUGAAGGCACAUAACAAUAGCAAAUUAUUCAACAUUAACACUCCCUGGAAUAUUUUUCAAAAUUAGAAGUGAAUUUUAUGUUUUAAUGUGCCUCUUCCCACUUCUUUCAUUUUAUGCAGCCUUUGAAACUGGGAUGUGGAUUCUCUGCUCUUCCACCUAUGACUUCAUACAUUAGGUUUUCUAUACCCAUCUGACUUCCCUGAAUUUCCCAGUGAUGGGAUGGUGGUUGUGUCAAGGUGCCACACUUGUGAGAUAAAAAGGAGCACUUAGGGCACCUCACUUGAGUAAGCUUUGAUUUUUGUUUUCAACAAUUGAGGAGGCAGACGAGGAGGCUGCAUUUGUAUUUCAUGCUAAGUUUCUCUCUCUUCAUCUUUUAUUAAAAGGAUCUUUGUGCCUAGCAAUGGUUGGUUAGUAUUUUACAGGGCUUUUGCUUAUUUUCCUUUGAUCAGAUGUGUCCUUCAAUGUAACAGCUGCACUCAGCAAGGUGAGUUGGAGGUAUUUUCCUUUGACAAAUCAGCAGAUGAAUACUUGUCUUUUUAGAUGUACAAGGAUGGUAGCUAAUGCCUAAUAUAGGAAAUAUAGAUUGCAUAAUUUGAUUUAGAUCUGUCUAGAUAAGAUGGGCCCAGAAGACAUCAGCCCCAGAUUUCGAGGGUUAUUGCAAACCACUCUAGAGAUGUCUUAACUUUUAAAAAACAGGUCAGAGUGAAUCAAACAAUUUAAACUCUUGCCAUACAUGAAUGACAUAUAUGUGAGACUGACUGCAGAAAACAGACUUAUAUAGAUUGAUUUUCCAUAACAGAACAACUGAUGGUACAAUUGUAAGCACAUUUACAUGGAAGGCUGCACUGAAUACACCUGGAUUUAUUGUAAAGCAAAUAGGUAUACUGUUGGACUUUAAGCACAAAUCAGUUUAAAUCACAUGUGAAAAAUGCAUGUUUGAACCAAUGCCCCCAUUUAAUUCCAGAUGGCAUCCAUCUUUCAUUCUCAGUUGUUAAUAAUAAUAAUAAUAAUAAUAAUAAUAAUAAUAAUAAUCCUGACUUGAAUAAAGGUCUGUAUAUGUUCUCAAUACCAAAAUUUCUUAUUAUUUAAUGUUAUUUAUUUACUUUAUUUAUAUCCUGCCUUUCUUCCCAUGGGGACUCAAGGGGGCUAACAACUACAUACUUUGGUCCCCAUUUAGAACAAAAUGAAUACAAAAAUAAAAAACAAUUAAAAACUGUGUGGGUUAUGUUAAAAUAGAAUUAAAAUAUAAUAAAUACAAUUCAAAUUAAUUUUAAAACUCACAAUUCCCUCUAAAUCCCACCCACACCCUCCCCAGCCCCUUAUCCUUUUCCAAAUGCCUGCUGACAGAGAAAGAUCUUUACCUGCUUGUGGAAAGUAAGUAGGGAUGGGGCCGCCCUGGUUUCUCUUGGGAGUUCCACAGCUCAGGAGCAGCCACCGAAAAGGCCGCCUCCUGUGUUCCCACCAAACACACUUGAGUGGGUGGUGGGACAGAGAGAAGGACCUCCUCAGUUGUAGAUGUCUGAAGGUUCAUAGAAGGAGAUAUGGUUCUUCAGAUAACCUUGACUGGAGAUGUAUAGGGCAUUGGUACAAUGCUCUUUUUGCUGCCUUAAUUGCCCCACUGUAGACCUUCAGAUAGAUUUUUGUCUGUUUUCUGCCACUGUUGCUUUAGUUUCUGUCUCAUGUUUCAUUGCUGCCAGCUCCUUGGUGAACCAACAGAAUAGUUUGGCUCCACUUUCUGAGAAGGCAUGCUUCAGAGCAAUUGUGUCUACCACCCUGAUCAUUUCCCCAAUCCAGGGCUUUGAUCACCUGCCCUAAUAGCAGGAAAUUUCCCAAGGGCCAUCAGGAAUCCAUCUGGAUGCAUAAGCCUCCUGGGGUGGACCAUCUUAAUGCGUCCCCCAUACUUGCAGAGGUUCUGAGUCCCAGCAAGACUAAACCUGACCAGAUGGUGUUCUGUCCAUGACAAUAGUGCCACAGAGAGCUUCUCCACCCCUAGAUCAUCAUCAUCCCCAUUCUCUGUACAUAAUACAAAGUCUAGAGUGUGCCCAGCAGCAUGUGUGGGGACAGAUACCAAUUAGAACAGACACAUGGCUGUCAUAGCAGACAUGAAGCCUUGAUCCACUCCCAACAAUGCAGUCUCAACAUAGAGUUGAAGUCCCCCAGUUCUACAAGCCAUGGAGACUCCAACACCAACCCCUGAAACUUUUGAGCAGUGGGGUGGGUGGCCCACCAACAGAAUUCCUAUUCUGUCCUGGCUCCCCACCUUUAGGUAAACACCCUCAACCCCCUGCAGACUGAGGGAUAGGUCAGGAGAGAUGCACAUGUGUCCCAGGCCCACGGCAUGAGUCGAGGCUUCUCCAUGCCUCCCUGGCCCAUCAGGGAAGCCUGGCAGGCCUGCAGCUGGUGCAAGCAGCCUCUCUGCAUUCUGGCAGGGGGCCUGAGGCAACAGCUAUGAUGAAGCACCCGGCUACUGCCUCAACAGACACCCCCCCCAAGCCAUACCCACACCAACCCAAGCGGGGAGGGGGGGCUGACCCACCGAUGGUGCCUAUCAGAAGCAAAGCUCCCUUACCUGUUACUUGGAAGUUUCCCUCGGACUGGCUGCCUCCUUUGUGUGAGUCAGCUAUUUGACCAAUGCUGCUGCCUGAAGCCUCCAUGUAAUCCUAUGUAUGCCGGCUCUCAUCCACAAAGAACUGUUGGGAGUUGCCACACGCUCCCUGGCUGCUUUCUUGCUUCUCCUGGGAACAAAGCCCCCCCCCAUCCCCUCCCUCCCCCCUCCCUCCCUCCCUCCCUCUUUCUUUCUUUCUUUCUUUCUUUCUUUCUUUCUUUCUUUCAUUCAUUCUUUCUUUCUUGUUUUAAAAACCAUUGUUCACAAACAGAUUUUUUGGCUUUAACAGAACGCAUACAGAGAAGUUAUAAAGGUUAGAAUCAUAGAGGCAAGGAAAAGGAGAAAUGUUAACUAUCUGCUCCUCAAGUAAAGUCAACACAUGGUCAUCUAAAGCUUCAUUUACCCUCCUUACAAAACCAUUAGGUCCAGCUUCUAAAAUUAUUUGCCUUCACUGCUGGAAACACACACCAGGGGAUGCAGUGUCCCAUUUGAAACCUGAAGGUGAAUUCUCAAAGUCCAUUCCUCUUCCUCGUUCCAGGAAAUGAACUAUUGAGGCGGAAAAUUAAAAAGCCACGUUUUGUCCGAAAGUCAAAUUAGGAGCUUCAAAAUGAGACUCAACACUUAUGCUGCAAUGUUUUGUAAGACAGUCUUUAAACUCAAGGUUAAUAACAGUUAACAGAAAUGUCCAUACUUUAGGUUUACUGGAUUUUCACUAUUAAACAACUUUCACUUGUUUGCCCAACCAACAAUGUCAAUGAAAUCAGUUAAAGUUCUGGUUAUUAUAAGGUUUUUUUUAAAUAUCUCACAUUAUCUCCCACUCAUCACAUAUUUCAGCUACAGAAUAAAAAGAUACUAUUUUUACUAGUAGAUCUUCAACACUAGUAACACAAAUAAGAGCAACAUCUUUUUUGAGGAUCAUUGUCAUGUGAAUUAACUUUUUGCAAGGAGCUAUAGAGCUCAUUCAUAUCUACCAUAAAGUAUUAAUAGUAUCUUUACUGAGGAUCAUAUUCAGGUGAACUAACAUGAUAUAUCAGGCAUGAGAAAACUUUGCCCCUCCAGAUGUUUUGGACUUCAACUCCCACAAUUCGUAACAGCUGGUAAACUGGCUGGGAUUUCUGAGCAUCAAAGUCUGAAACACCUGGAGGGCCAAAGUUUGCUCAUGCCUGCUCUAUAUGUUUUAGAGCUGCUUCACACACAUACAUACAUUAUUAUUCCUCUAUAAUUAUUUUGUUAUUGUGUACCUUCAACUAAUUUCUGACUUAUGUCACUGGGUUUCUGGGACUGAGGGUGUGUGACCCACCCAAGGCACUUGUUUAGUCUACAUUAAUUUCUUAUUUACAUCCAGUCUUUCCCUCCAAUGAGCUGAAGAUGGCCUGCUUGGUUCCCUUUCUGCUCAUUUCCCCUUGCAACUACCCUGUGUCUCUGAGGAAGUUGGGGCUCUGAGACUGGCUGAUGCAAGUUUCAUGUCUCAGUGGAAACUUUAAUCUGUGGUCCAAUUAUAGCACUAUAUUCUAUAACUGCCAUGACUACAUCCUAUGGAGUCGUGAGAUCUGUAGUUUGGUGAGACACUGGAGC
RNAcentral lists this long non-coding RNA (4883 nucleotides) under Anolis carolinensis (green anole). Its description in RNAcentral is "lncRNA (ENSACAG00000043982.1)". The record is from RNAcentral. Lineage: Eukaryota; Metazoa; Chordata; Lepidosauria; Squamata; Anolidae.